RNAcentral lists this ribosomal RNA (419 nucleotides) under uncultured bacterium. RNAcentral describes it as "bacterial SSU rRNA". It matches the Rfam family "Bacterial small subunit ribosomal RNA", at positions 355 to 786 of the family's 1533-position model. The record is from RNAcentral.
UGGGGAAUAUUGCACAAUGGGGGAAACCCUGAUGCAGCAACGCCGCGUGAAGGAAGAAGGGUUUCGGCUCGUAAACUUCUAUCAAUCGGGACGAAGAAAGUGACGGUACCGAAAUAAGAAGCCCCGGCUAACUACGUGCCAGCAGCCGCGGUAAUACGUAGGGGGCAAGCGUUAUCCGGAAUUACUGGGUGUAAAGGGAGAGUAGGCGGCAUGGUAAGUAAGAUGUGAAAGCCCUGGGCUUAACCUGGGGAUUGCAUUUUAAAACUAUCAAGCUAGAGUACAGGAGAGGAAAGCGGAAUUCCUAGUGUAGCGGUGAAAUGCGUAGAUAUUAGGAAGAACACCAGUGGCGAAGGCGGCUUUCUGGACUGAAACUGACGCUGAGGCUCGAAAAGCGUGGGGAGCAAACAGGAUUAGAUACC